UGAAGACUCUGUUCUCUCUCCCUCCACUCAAGAAGACAUAGGUAAAGAAAUGCCUGGAGCCCUCUCUAAGACAGACUCCCGUGUGAGUGACCAAAGGUUAAAGGUCAACUUCAUCAAGUCAUCUCAUUAACACAGAAAUGUCUUUGAAGGUAUUCAGUCUUUGCCAUGCUUGACAUUUCACCAGACUGCAACCAAGACGCCAAAGAAUCAGAUUCAAAUAUUAAUGAGCAAAAGGUCACAAUGAGGUCAGCUGGGGGUCAGGCUAAAGAAGCAGCCCCUCCCUGGCACAGAGGGAAGACAGCCAUGGCAGAACGAUGUAAUGAUUCUCAAGGAUUCUGCUUGAAGGUGACAUCCAUCCAUUCUGUUCACAUUUCACUGGACACAGGACAUCACAUGGUCACACUUGAGGUCAUUGGGUAGAGAAUUUUAAUUCUCUCACAAGGAGAGGCAAUAAAUAAUUAGGGAAAAUAAUA
Molecule: long non-coding RNA, 473 nt
Organism: Mustela erminea (ermine)
Lineage: Eukaryota; Metazoa; Chordata; Mammalia; Carnivora; Mustelidae
Exons: 3
Source: RefSeq, a predicted model, not a curated record